This 373-nucleotide ribosomal RNA is filed under the name uncultured organism. RNAcentral's name for it is "partial 16S ribosomal RNA". It matches the Rfam family "Bacterial small subunit ribosomal RNA", at positions 527 to 896 of the family's 1533-position model. The record is from RNAcentral.
GGAGGGUGCGAGCGUUGUUCGGAUUUAUUGGGCGUAAAGGGCGUGUAGGCGGUCAGAUAAGUCUGGUGUGAAAGCCCUUGGCUUAACCAAGGAAUGUCGCUGGAAACUGUCUGACUUGAGUACGAGAGAGGAGAGUGGAAUUCCCGGUGUAGAGGUGAAAUUCGUAGAUAUCGGGAGGAACACCGGUGGCGAAGGCGGCUCUCUGGCUCGAUACUGACGCUGAGACGCGAAAGCGUGGGGAGCAAACAGGGAUUAGAUACCCUGGUAGUCCACGCCGUAAACGUUGGGCACUAGGUGUGGGAGGUAUCAACUCCUUCUGUGCCGAAGCUAACGCAUUAAGUGCCCCCGCCUGGGAACUACGGCCGCAAGGCUG